ACACCCGUACCGUUAAACAACCAUAAAGGGGUUAUUCUUACCGUCCACUCGCUAUCUCACAGGCGGGCGUUAAUCCGGGUGGGAGCUGCCUCUAUAUCCUUUUCUCCUAUCGCACCUUUGCUCUUUUUUUCCUCGAUAGUGGGGAAUAAAGCAUACAUUCACCUGGAACACUAUGCCAUGAUUCGCAAGCUCAGAAUUAACCUCACUAAAGGACUAGCCUGCAGGAUAAACGAUUCGUCUUGUGCCAGCGCCGCGGUAAUACGGAGGGAGCUAGCGUUGUCGGAAUUCUGUGCGUAAAGCGCACGUAGGCGGCUUUUAAGUUAGAGGUGAAAGCCUGGAGCUCAACUCCAGAAUUCCUGUAAGACUGCAUCGCUUGAAUCCAAGAGAGGUGAGUGGAAUUCCGAGUGUAGAGGUGAAAUUCGUAGAUAUUCGGAAGAACAGCAGUGGCGAAGGCGGCUCACUGGCUUGGUAUUGACGCUGAGGUGCGAAGGCGUGGGGAGCAAACAGGAUUAGAUACCCUGGUAGUC
Molecule: ribosomal RNA, 527 nt
Filed under: uncultured bacterium
Lineage: Bacteria
Description: partial 16S ribosomal RNA
Rfam family: Bacterial small subunit ribosomal RNA (bases 136-527)
Source: RNAcentral